UAUAUGAGUUGCGUCAAGCGAAAAGGGACCUUCGUGACAUGUUUAGAAUAACGUCACAAUCGAUCCUAAAAGUAACGUUGUUACAGCCGACAGUUACCGAAAAAAAAAUCUGAACGCGAAAAAAGAAGAAUUUUUAGCAGAGAAAAUACCAUGCAGCAAACGCCAUGGAUAGGCAGAUCAAUCUAUACACAGUGAAGCUGUUUGUUAAGAGUGGUGCAGAAGAUACACAGAGAAAAUUCGUUCUGCUGAAGCCCACCAUCGGACCUGAGGACUUAAUGCCUGACAAUCCUCCGAGCGGAUUGCCUUUGGAGCGAUGCUACCUGUUCCGCAUGGUCCGUGACCCAAACAACGAUACCACGCACUUGUCCAAAUGUUGAAGAGUGAUGAUGGUGGAAUUCUGUUGUUGAUGAUUUAUAAUACUCAUUUUUCUUGUCCAUAAUUGAUCACUAUUUCAGAAAUCAACUUAGCAUUGUUUAUAUAGUCAUUAAAAUGGUCACCAGUGGUAUAGUCUUUAAUUACAUUUGAUAAAAUUCAUUUGCAUUGAA
Ostrea edulis (European flat oyster) is the source of this 545-nucleotide long non-coding RNA. RefSeq lists it as uncharacterized. NCBI's taxonomy places the organism in Eukaryota, Metazoa, Mollusca, Bivalvia, Ostreida, Ostreidae. The record is from RefSeq and is a predicted model, not a curated record. The transcript is spliced from 2 exons.